This 520-nucleotide ribosomal RNA is filed under the name uncultured Glomeromycotina. RNAcentral's name for it is "SSU rRNA". It matches the Rfam family "Eukaryotic small subunit ribosomal RNA", at positions 569 to 1090 of the family's 1831-position model. The record is from RNAcentral. Lineage: Eukaryota; Fungi; Glomeromycota.
AGCAGCCGCGGUAAUUCCAGCUCCAAUAGCGUAUAUUAAAGUUGUUGCAGUUAAAAAGCUCGUAGUUGAAUUUCAGGAUUAGUAAGUUGGUCGUGCCUCCGGUAUGUACUGGCUCUACUGGUUCCUCCUUCUUGAAGAACUGUAAUGUCAUUAAUUUGGUGUUGCAGGGAAACAGGACUGUUACUUUGAAAAAAUUAGAGUGUUUAAAGCAGGCUAACGCUUGAAUACAUUAGCAUGGAAUAAUGAAAUAGGACGUUUGAUCCUAUUUUGUUGGUUUCUAGGAUUGACGUAAUGAUUAAUAGGGAUAGUUGGGGGCAUUAGUAUUCAAUUGUCAGAGGUGAAAUUCUUGGAUUUAUUGAAGACUAACUACUGCGAAAGCAUUUGCCAAGGAUGUUUUCAUUAAUCAAGAACGAAAGUUAGGGGAUCGAAGACGAUCAGAUACCGUCGUAGUCUUAACCAUAAACUAUGCCGACUAGGGAUCGGAUGAUGUUAAUUUUUUAAUGACUCAUUCGGCGCCUUA